RNAcentral lists this ribosomal RNA (460 nucleotides) under uncultured bacterium. Its description in RNAcentral is "partial 16S ribosomal RNA". It matches the Rfam family "Bacterial small subunit ribosomal RNA", at positions 338 to 795 of the family's 1533-position model. The record is from RNAcentral.
CCUACGGGAGGCAGCAGUGAGGAAUAUUGGUCAAUGGACGAGAGUCUGAACCAGCCAAGUAGCGUGAAGGAUGACUGCCCUAUGGGUUGUAAACUUCUUUUAUAUGGGAAUAAAACGUUCCAAGUGUGGGAUUUUGUAUGUACCAUAUGAAUAAGGAUCGGCUAACUCCGUGCCAGCAGCCGCGGUAAUACGGAGGAUCCGAGCGUUAUCCGGAUUUAUUGGGUUUAAAGGGAGCGUAGGUGGAUUGUUAAGUCAGUUGUGAAAGUUUGCGGCUCAACCGUAAAAUUGCAGUUGAAACUGGCAGUCUUGAGUACAGUAGAGGUGGGCGGAAUUCGUGGUGUAGCGGUGAAAUGCUUAGAUAUCACGAAGAACUCCGAUUGCGAAGGCAGUUCACUGGACUGCAACUGACACUGAGGCUCGAAAGUGUGGGUAUCAAACAGGAUUAGAUACCCGAGUAGUC